RNAcentral lists this ribosomal RNA (160 nucleotides) under Petrocosmea barbata. RNAcentral's name for it is "5.8S ribosomal RNA". It matches the Rfam family "5.8S ribosomal RNA". From Rfam's summary of the family: 5.8S ribosomal RNA (5.8S rRNA) is a component of the large subunit of the eukaryotic ribosome. It is transcribed by RNA polymerase I as part of the 45S precursor that also contains 18S and 28S rRNA. Lineage: Eukaryota; Viridiplantae; Streptophyta; Magnoliopsida; Lamiales; Gesneriaceae. The record is from RNAcentral.
ACGACUCUCGGCAACGGAUAUCUCGGCUCUCGCAUCGAUGAAGAACGUAGCGAAAUGCGAUACUUGGUGUGAAUUGCAGAAUCCCGUGAACCAUCGAGUCUUUGAACGCAAGUUGCGCCCGAUGCCAUCAGGUUGAGGGCACGUCUGCCUGGGCGUCACG